CUUGGUGUCCAAGGAGAGGCGGGUACACCCGAACCCAUUCCGAACUCGGAAGUUAAGCGCCUCAUCGCCCAUGAUACUGCGUAUAUUUGCGUGGGAAAGUAGGUCGACGCCAAGG
RNAcentral lists this ribosomal RNA (115 nucleotides) under Desulfovibrionaceae bacterium. The record is from RNAcentral. Lineage: Bacteria; Pseudomonadati; Thermodesulfobacteriota; Desulfovibrionia; Desulfovibrionales; Desulfovibrionaceae.